RNAcentral lists this transfer RNA (76 nucleotides) under Fimbriimonadaceae bacterium. RNAcentral's name for it is "tRNA-Lys". It matches the Rfam family "tRNA". From Rfam's summary of the family: Transfer RNA (tRNA) molecules are approximately 80 nucleotides in length. Their secondary structure includes four short double-helical elements and three loops (D, anti-codon, and T loops). The record is from RNAcentral. RNAcentral also lists the same sequence under 1 other name. Lineage: Bacteria; Bacillati; Armatimonadota; Fimbriimonadia; Fimbriimonadales; Fimbriimonadaceae.
GGGCCGGUAGCUCAGCUGGUAGAGCACCGCCCUUUUAAGGCGGGCGUCCCGAGUUCGAUUCUCGGCCGGCUCACCA